UACGUAGGGUGCAAGCGUUGUCCGGAAUUAUUGGGCGUAAAGAGCUCGUAGGCGGUCUGUCGCGUCGGCUGUGAAAACCCGUGGCUCAACCCCGGGCCUGCAGUCGAUACGGGCAGACUAGAGUGCGGUAGGGGAGACUGGAAUUCCUGGUGUAGCGGUGGAAUGCGCAGAUAUCAGGAGGAACACCGAUGGCGAAGGCAGGUCUCUGGGCCAUUACUGACACUGAGAAGCGAAAGCAUGGGGAGCGAACAGG
Molecule: ribosomal RNA, 253 nt
Filed under: uncultured bacterium
Lineage: Bacteria
Description: partial 16S ribosomal RNA
Rfam family: Bacterial small subunit ribosomal RNA
Source: RNAcentral